This 675-nucleotide ribosomal RNA is filed under the name uncultured euryarchaeote. RNAcentral's name for it is "bacterial SSU rRNA". It matches the Rfam family "Archaeal small subunit ribosomal RNA", at positions 321 to 999 of the family's 1478-position model. The record is from RNAcentral. Lineage: Archaea; Methanobacteriati; Methanobacteriota.
CCCUAUGGGGUGCAGCAGGCGCGAAACCUUUACAAUGCACGAAAGUGUGAUAAGGGAACCCAAAGUGCUUAGCUUAGCUAAGCUUUUACCAAGAGUAAAUAUCUUGGAGAAUAAGUGGUGGGCAAGACUGGUGCCAGCCGCCGCGGUAAUACCAGCGCCACGAGUGGGAACUACAAUUAUUGGGCCUAAAGCGUCCGUAGCCUGUUUGAUAAAUUUCUUGUGAAAUUGUUAAGUUCAACUUAACAUCGUGCAGGAAACACUGUCAGACUAGGGACUGGGAGGAGUUAGAAGUAUCUUUGGGGUAGCGGUAAAAUGUUAUAAUCCUAAAGAGACUACCUAUGGCGAAAGCAUCUAACUAGAACAGGUCCGACGGUGAGGGACGAAAGCUAGGGGAGCAAACCGGAUUAGAUACCCGAGUAGUCCUAGCCAUAAACGCUGCGAGCAAGAUGUUGCGUAUUCUUCGUGAAUAUGCAGUAUCGAAGAGAAGUCGUUAAGCUCGCCGCCUGGGAAGUAUGGUCGCAAGACUGAAACUUAAAGGAAUUGGCGGGGGAGCACUACAAGGGGUGCGGCGUGCGGUUUAAUCUAACUCAACGCAGAGAAUCUCACCAGAAGCGACGGCAGAAUGAAAGUCAGAUUAAAGGUUUUACUUGACGAGCCGAGAGGAAGUGCAUGGCC